Molecule: ribosomal RNA, 253 nt
Filed under: uncultured bacterium
Lineage: Bacteria
Description: partial 16S ribosomal RNA
Rfam family: Bacterial small subunit ribosomal RNA
Source: RNAcentral
UACGUAUGGUGCAAGCGUUGUUCGGAUUUACUGGGCGUAAAGAGCGCGCAGGCGGAUGAUUAAGUCGGGUGUGAAAUCUCCAGGCUUAACCUGGAGGCUGCAUCCGAAACUGGUGAUCUGGAGUCCCGGAGAGGCAGACGGAAUACUUGGUGUAGCGGUGAAAUGCGUAGAUAUCAAGUGGAACACCGAUGGCGAAGGCGGCUUCCUGGACCGAUACUGACGCUGAGACGCGAAAGCGUGGGGAGCAAACAGG